UUAGAAAAUGACGCUCUUGUCUAUUGUUCACCUUAUUCCUCCUCGACUCGGCCCUCAACUCGUCUGGAACUCAGGCGAGUUUGCUCAAAUGGGACCCUUCCCCUCCACGUCAUUUGAUUCCCAACGGUUUUUAUCAAAAAGAAUAGAAUAUUCUCUCAAAAUCGCACGAUUUUUGGUACGAAAAGACGAUUUGCUGGAUGAAUGGGAGCCGUGGAUAGAUGUAAAUCGAUCCAUGCCUUCUAUUUGCCCCAAAUAUUGUUCAGAAAACCUGAAGAUUUUUGGAUUUUUGGCAAAAACUUGAAGAUUUUUUGAAGGCUAUAUAUAUGAGGUAAGUUCUGUUUGCUAGGUGAGGAAAAAGAUCAGAGAAAAAAUCGAAGAAAAAAUAAGAGGAAAAAUCUAGGAAAAAUUCUAGGGUUCUAAGAGUUGUCACCUUCUUCAAGCCAUUUCUUUUAGUCUGCUUCUUUUUUCUUUCCAGAAAAACAUACGAAAAAAGGAAAAUUGUUUGAGUUCAUGUUUUAUUCGAGUUUAUUUAAUGUUUAAGAUAAAAAUCAGAAAAAGAUGUCACUAAAACAGAGGUUCUUUUAGCCUUGGUUCUUUCUCUUGAUUUCUGGUUCUCUAAAUUGUUGGAAUUGCUGUUCGUUAGUCCGCUGAUUUUUUUGGUGUUUGUGCUGUCAAAUUAUACCUGUGCUCCUUCAUUUCCAGCUCUAGACUUUAUUGGGGUAAUUUUUCUGCUACUAGAAAAAUCAUGUUUUGAUUUAAAGGCUAGUUGGUCAGAAAAUAAUCUAAAUUUCACCAGAGUCAUAUUUGCUAGAUCUGUUUAUCUUGGAGCCAUGUUAAUGUCUGAAUUGUAGACUGUAGAGAUGAAUUUUUUAUAUUGGAUUGACAUUUUUGUUUUCAAGUUAAAAGAGGUUCAAAACUAAGGUGUACACAAAGUUGUCUUUUCUGUAAUAAGGAGGAGCAUGCUCAUGCAUUUGAUAUGGAGGUUGCAACUUUUUCUCUUAAUCUUAGCAAAAAUCAUUUUCCUUUUGUUUACAUUUUUGAGUUAAUUAUCUGAUUUCAACAUCUUGGACUUACAUAUGGUAUGAUAUAAUCCCACAACAAUAGCAAUGUGCCGGCUUCUGAACAUGAUUUAAAAUACUGCAGCUUUGUACCCAUCUAAAUGCUGAAAAUAUCCCUUUUUUACUAACUAUCAAAUGCAAAUCCAAUUAUUAGCACCUAAGCUGAACAAAUAAUGGAUUAGUAAAGUGCUCCUGUAGAUUUGUCUCUUUGUUAGCUUAAUUUUAUGGAGUUCUUUAAUAUAGUAGCAUAUAUGCUUGCAAGAAAAAUGUGAAGAAUUGCUUAAUAAUCCAUUGAAUGUGAUGCCAGAAGCUUAUUCUUAGUUGUUGCCUUGUAGUAAAUCUUGGAAGCCAAUUCAUUCAACACCUGUAGUUAUUUAUUCUCUUGGUUAUCAUAACCUUUGGUUCAAUUUCCUAUA
Long non-coding RNA from Nicotiana tabacum (common tobacco), 1474 nucleotides. RefSeq lists it as uncharacterized. Lineage: Eukaryota; Viridiplantae; Streptophyta; Magnoliopsida; Solanales; Solanaceae. The record is from RefSeq and is a predicted model, not a curated record.